AGGUCAUUCAUUAGUUUCAAAGUUAAUUAUCAUCCUACAUUGAAAAAGUAUCCAUCAUACAAACAUCCUACAUCAAAUCCAAAAAAAUAUUGUUGAUCAUAAUACAUGUGAGUAAAAAAUGAGGUUACUUGAGUGUCAAAGUUACACCAUCUGCAUGAUCAAAAUAUGAAUGUAUUAGUUUAUAAACUUUAGAUCUAAAAAAUAUUAAAGAAUUAACUUUGUAUCAAACUUACCAUCAUCAAUCAUCAAUCGAACUUAGAAACUCUGCCCACUCUAUCCUCAUUUCAUCAAUCUCUUUUUUGGAAUAACAUCCUCCUGUGAACUAUAAAUACAAAAUUGUGAUCAUUAAGUAAUACAUCAUAAAUGAAACCUUGAACUAAAAUUUGAUUAAAAUUCUAAAUUAUAAUUACCAACGUAGCUAAUGGGAGAGAGUGAUCGGAUACAAGAUUGUCAAAGACAUCUCUCAUGAAUCGCAUAACAUAAAAUCCACAUUGUG
Molecule: long non-coding RNA, 496 nt
Filed under: Salvia miltiorrhiza (redroot sage)
Lineage: Eukaryota; Viridiplantae; Streptophyta; Magnoliopsida; Lamiales; Lamiaceae
Description: long non-coding RNA (SMIL_LNC002793)
Source: RNAcentral